This 213-nucleotide ribosomal RNA is filed under the name Faecalibacillus faecis. RNAcentral describes it as "Bacterial small subunit ribosomal RNA". It matches the Rfam family "Bacterial small subunit ribosomal RNA", at positions 1 to 224 of the family's 1533-position model. The record is from Rfam by way of RNAcentral. Lineage: Bacteria; Bacillati; Bacillota; Erysipelotrichia; Erysipelotrichales; Coprobacillaceae.
ACAAUGGAGAGUUUGAUCCUGGCUCAGGAUGAACGCUGGCGGCGUGCCUAAUACAUGCAAGUCGAACGCUUCACAUAUGUGAAGAGUGGCGAACGGGUGAGUAAUACAUAAGUAACCUGGCCUUUACAGGGGGAUAACUGUUGGAAACGAUAGCUAAGACCGCAUAGGUGUCAUAACCGCAUGGAGAUGAUAUGAAAUAUGCUACGGCAUAGG